This 301-nucleotide ribosomal RNA is filed under the name uncultured bacterium. Its description in RNAcentral is "partial 16S ribosomal RNA". It matches the Rfam family "Bacterial small subunit ribosomal RNA", at positions 509 to 807 of the family's 1533-position model. The record is from RNAcentral.
CAGUAGCCACGGUAAUACGGAGGGAGCUAGCGUUGUUCGGAAUUACUGGGCGUAAAGCGCACGUAGGCGGCUUUGUAAGUCAGAGGUGAAAGCCUGGAGCUCAACUCCAGAACUGCCUUUGAGACUGCAUCGCUUGAAUCCAGGAGAGGUGAGUGGAAUUCCGAGUGUAGAGGUGAAAUUCGUAGAUAUUCGGAAGAACACCAGUGGCGAAGGCGGCUCACUGGACUGGUAUUGACGCUGAGGUGCGAAAGCGUGGGGAGCAAACAGGAUUAGAGACCCGGGUAGUCCCUGUCUCUUAUAC